Molecule: transfer RNA, 67 nt
Filed under: Lachnoclostridium phocaeense
Lineage: Bacteria; Bacillati; Bacillota; Clostridia; Lachnospirales; Lachnospiraceae
Also listed under: 2 other names
Rfam family: tRNA
About the family: Transfer RNA (tRNA) molecules are approximately 80 nucleotides in length. Their secondary structure includes four short double-helical elements and three loops (D, anti-codon, and T loops).
Source: RNAcentral
GGCAUAGCUCAGCUGGAUAGAGCGUCUGGCUACGGACCAGAAGGUCGGGGGUUCGAAUCCUCUUGCC